GCUGAGUGAUGUUAAAAUCUUCGGGUUUUGUUUAAUUAAAUGUAUUUUAUUUCAUCUGGGUGCUUGUGUCACCUACUAACACCCUGGUACUACCCGUAGCUCCGGUUCUCCUCAGUCCGAGAAAACACUGAGAAAGGCUCCUGUGUAGAACAACUUGUCAGAUGGUGCAUUGGAGACUGAUGUGUUCCUGUCCUGUCUUUUCACAAUACUAUUGCAGGUGUUCAGACGUUCCUGAGUACUGGACAGACCAUAUUUUCCAGAAUACAUUAACAAGGAACAAUGCCAAGGAGUUUGGAGGAGCAUCGCAGAUCUACCUGUCUGUCUCUUUCUUCCUCACCUGUCUCACUGCCUCCACGCUGGUCUUCCGAUGACAGACAGCUACCUAGCCUGAACCCCGCCCCCCUCUGAUUCGUAAUCUCCCUGGAAUGUUCCAGAAUGCCUGAACUUAGCAUGCCUGCUGCAUUAUCUUUAUUAAAUUUUUAUGACUAUAUGACUUAAGUUAUGAUAUUGUUCAUUUUGGCUGAUGGACUGAGAGCUGUUGACUGACUCCAUGCUUGAUGACUUUACAAUCACAGAGAGCUGUUGACUGACUCCAUGCUUGAUAACUUUACAAUCACAGAGAGCUGUUGACUGACUCCAUGCUUGAUAACUUUACAAUCACAGAGAGCUGUUGACUGACUCCAUGCUUGUUGACUUUACAAUCACAGAGAGCUGUUGACUGACUCCAUGCUUGUUGACUUUACAAUCACAGAGAGCUGUUCACUGACUCCAUGCUUGAUAACUUUACAACCACAGAGAGCUGUUGACUGACUCCAUGCUUGAUAACUACAAUCACAGAGAGCUGUUGACUGACUCCAUGCUUGAUAACUUUACAACCACAGAGAGCUGUUGACUGACUCCAUGGUUGUUGACUUUACAAUCACAGAGAGCUGUUGACUUCAGAUGCUCGAUGACUUUCAAACACAACCACCAAAGUUGUGCUUCUUUUGACAACCGUUCUAAAACCAUGAAAGGGCUUUUUGGUUUCUUCUUCUUUAGUGUCUAAUAAGAGAACAUUGGUUGAAGGAACAACGUUACAAUGUGAUGGACUACUAGGUGAAACAGCCACUCAAAACUCCAAAGAUAGUAUUUUCUUCAAGGCUUUGUUUUUAUUUCUGUAAUGCUUCAGGGAAAUGUAAAGACAAGGUCCUGGACAGUAACAGGAUUAUAGUCUUUCUGUCUGAGACACUGUCAUCAUAGAGAUCUAGUCGUUUAUUUAGAUUAGGGUUGGGGUCAAUUCCUUUACAAUUCAGGAAGUAAACUGAAGUACAAUUCCAAUUUUCCUCAAUGCCUCUCUAUGAGAAAAUGAAAAUGAAUGAAUGUAUUGACAUUGAAUUGACCCCAACACUGAUCUAGAGAUAAGAUAGUGACUGUAGACCUCUUGGGGGGGUAGAGUUGAGGUGUGGGUGGUGGAGGACAGCCCAGUCUGGUGUAUCAGAGAUGAGGGGAGAGCCCAGUCUGAUCACUGGAGGUUCUCUUGCUACAGAGAUGGUCUAUAGAAUCCUUUUAGUAGCUGACAUUCCUAACCUCAACUGAGAGGGUCUCUGUCCCUCUGAUGGCCCUGUUGGUGUCCACUCUGUCUCUCUGUGUGUGUCCUGUUCUUCGCUGUCAGGGACAAAGGGGGGUUGUUGAGGAAAUUGGGGGGGGGUGGGGUUAGUAGUCUUUUGGCAGCAUUACCCUGCGGCCCCCCAUGAAAUGACAUAAGGUGAUCUUCCUUCUGAAGGGAAUGUUGUCCAGGGCCUCCACUGCCACCCUCUUGUUGCCCCUGACGCUGCUCUCCUCCUGGUCGUACAUGGGGCACAUGUAGGCGGUUCGCCUCAGGGCGUAGAUGUCCACCUCGUCCUCGUCGUCCCACGGCUGGUAGGGCUGCUGGGAUGUAACGGCCGACUUGACCAGACGGGGCCUCAUCAUGGCCAGCUCUAGGUCACGGGGGAUAUGCCUCAGGCCCAGGCUAGACCUCUGGACUCUGACUCCUUUAAAUUACAUUACAUCAGGUUACAUUCAUUUAUUAGUCAUUCAUUUAUGAAUGGUUAAAAACAGGACAUUCAUCUUCCUGGUCGUACAUCAGCAUAAACAUACAUUAUACAACAUUGACAAUAUAUUCAAUAGAUAAAAUGUGUCAUUGCACAAAGAGAAGUGCUAACCUUUCUUUCUCUUCUUGGUCCUUUCAUCCCAGGCGUUGGCACUGACAAGGGACACGUUUCCCUGGCCCAGGGAGGGCAGAAGUUUGGGCCGGGGGGCCACCGGGGGUUUGGGGACCUUUGGAGGAGGAGCAUCCCUCUGGGCUCUCCUGGCCAGCAGGGGUCCUGUCUGGGCGAAGGCCUCAGGCCUGAUGAUGUCUCUGGGUGGGAUGCUGGUCCCUCUGGCAGCCUCCUCUGGCUGAGCAGCUUUCGGCAUGGAGAGAACAAACACAUUGUUGCUGAAGCUGCAUGAAUCUGAAAGGGCCAGCUCUUCCAGGGUCACAGGGCAGGUAGGACGGGACUCAGGCUGGACCAGGUCCACAGUGCUGGUAGUGAUGCUCACAGAACUGGUAGGUUGGGACUCAAGAAUAACGGGACACACAGGAUUACUGGGCUUCACUUUUCUCCUAGUGGUGCGUCGAGGGUUGCUAGGCCUCCCCUCAGGUCUGGAAGGCUGUAAGUCAGGCUGGACCAGGCCAACGGGUCUAACAGGCCGUCUAGUGGGGCGUCGAGGGUUGCUUGGCUUCUCCUCAGGUCUUGAUGGCUGUACUUCAGGUUGGACAAGGCCAACUGGUCUAACAGGCCGUCUAGUGGGGUGUCGAGGGUUGCUAGGCCUCCCAUCAGGUCUAGUGAUGCUGACAGGGAUUCUAGGUGUCAUCUCAUUCUGGUGCAGGCUCUCUGGGCUGCUGGGCCGGGAGUCAGGAAGAAGCUUGUAGUUCUUCAGAACCUCAGUGAAGGAGAGCUCCUUGUUGCGCCUGCGUCUGUUGGUUUUGGCAGGCAGCUGGGAGCUGCUGCUGUUAAACCAACCGGGAGACUCACGACAUCCAUCCUGGACAGGAACUAGGGACUGGAGGUCUCUCCUCUUUCUGUGGUCAGCUGUGGGCCUCUUGGGACAGAUUUCAUCAGGAGGGGGAGCCCGAGGUACAACAUGUAGGGAGGGGAACGCUGAGGGCCUGAAAGAGGAGGCCAUCACUGGGGCCUGGCUGACCCCUUCUCUCUCCAGCAGCACUCUGUUAGAAGGACAGAGUAGCGGAACACCGGUGGACCUUGGUCCUCUAGACCCAUUCAGGUUGGGCCUCCUAUUCAUCAUUCACUGGUCUGCAGUAUUCUAAUCAGAAUGCUCCUUCUAGUCUUGAAUACUUGGAAUAGGAAGUGGCUUUCAGCACAAUUAAAUUCUAUAAAAAGAGCCACAGAAACAUCUUUGUUUAGUAUUUGGGGAAAUUCUAAAAAUGUUUUACUGUUUCUUUCUAAUUUCAUCAAAGUCAGUUCUGAGUUGAAAUAUUUAUUUGUGACAAGAUAUAUCCAUUAAAAUGUAACAGCUUUGUUCAAUUAUUCAUGCCUAAUAGCCUAGAUGUAACUGGCCUCAAUAAAACUGUCUAUCUCCUCAUUUAUCCAAUAAACAGUUGGACAGGCGUA
Long non-coding RNA from Salvelinus fontinalis (brook trout), 3635 nucleotides. RefSeq lists it as uncharacterized. The record is from RefSeq and is a predicted model, not a curated record. The transcript has 4 exons. Lineage: Eukaryota; Metazoa; Chordata; Actinopteri; Salmoniformes; Salmonidae.